AUUGAACGCUGGCGGCAGGCCUAACACAUGCAAGUCGAGCGGAUGAAGGGAGCUUGCUCCUGGAUUCAGCGGCGGACGGGUGAGUAAUGCCUAGGAAUCUGCCUGGUAGUGGGGGAUAACGUCCGGAAACGGGCGCUAAUACCGCAUACGUCCUGAGGGAGAAAGUGGGGGAUCUUCGGACCUCACGCUAUCAUAUGAGCCUAGGUCGGAUUAGCUAGUUGGUGGGGUAAAGGCCUACCAAGGCGACGAUCCGUAACUGGUCUGAGAGGAUGAUCAGUCACACUGGAACUGAGACACGGUACAGACUGCUACGGGAGGCAGCAGUGGGGAAUAUUGGACAAUGGGCGAAAGCCUGAUCCAGCCAUGCCGCGUGUGUGAAGAAGGUCUUCGGAUUGUAAAGCACUUUAAGUUGGGAGGAAGGGCAGUAAGUUAAUACCUUGCUGUUUUGACGGUACCAACAGAAUAAGCACCGGCUAACUUCGUG
Molecule: ribosomal RNA, 484 nt
Filed under: uncultured bacterium
Lineage: Bacteria
Description: partial 16S ribosomal RNA
Rfam family: Bacterial small subunit ribosomal RNA
Source: RNAcentral